This 1775-nucleotide ribosomal RNA is filed under the name gut metagenome. Its description in RNAcentral is "bacterial LSU rRNA". It matches the Rfam family "Bacterial large subunit ribosomal RNA", at positions 1131 to 2925 of the family's 2925-position model. The record is from RNAcentral.
AGCGUAACAGCUCACUGGUCUAGUGAUUCUGCGCAGAAAAUAUAACGGGGCUAAGAUAGACACCGAAGUUGUAGAUUCUACUUUUAGUAGAGUGGUAGAAGAGCGUUCGUAUCAGCGUUGAAGGUAUACCGGUAAGGAGUGCUGGAGCGAUGCGAAGUGAGCAUGCAGGAAUGAGUAGCGAUAAAAUAUGUGGGAAUCAUAUUCGCCGUAAAUCUAAGGUUUCCUACGCGAUGCUCGUCAUCGUAGGGUUAGUCGGGUCCUAAGACAAGUCAGAAAUGGGUAGUCGAUGGCAAAUAGGUUAAUAUUCCUAUACCAAUUAUUGUGUGCGAUGGAAGGACGCAUAGGGUUAAGCGAGCCAACGGAUGGAAGUGUUGGUCUAAGAGCGUAGAUUGGAGGAGUGGCAAAUCCGCCUCUGUAUUCGAAACUUGAAAGGCUCUUUGAAGUCUUCGGAUGGAUAGGAGAAUCGCUGAUACCGUCGUGCCAAGAAAAGUUUCUAAGUUUAGCAAUAAUUGCCCGUACCGCAAACCGACACAGGUAGAUGAGAUGAGUAUUCUAAGGCGCGUGAAAGAACUCUGGUUAAGGAACUCUGCAAACUAGCACCGUAAGUUCGCGAUAAGGUGUGCCUAAGCAAUUAGGUCUCAGCAAAGAGUCCCUCCCGACUGUUUACCAAAAACACAGCACUUUGCAAACUCGUAAGAGGAAGUAUAAGGUGUGACGCCUGCCCGGUGCUCGAAGGUUAAGAGGAUUAGUCAGCAGCAAUGCGAAGCUUUGAAUUGAAGCCCGAGUAAACGGCGGCCGUAACUAUAACGGUCCUAAGGUAGCGAAAUUCCUUGUCGGUUAAAUACCGACCUGCAUGAAUGGCGUAACGAGAUGGGAGCUGUCUCAACCAGGGAUUCAGUGAAAUUGUAGUGGAGGUGAAAAUUCCUCCUACCCGCGGCAAGACGGAAAGACCCCGUGGACCUUUACUACAGCUUGGCACUGCCGAUGGGAGCAUUAUGCGCAGGAUAGGUGGGAGGCUUUGAAAUCUUCACUCUGGUGGAGAUGGAGCCAUCGUUGAGAUACCACCCUUAAUGUUUCUGUCUGCUAACUAGCUUGAGUUAUCCUCAAGUAGGACAAUGCCUGGUGGGUAGUUUGACUGGGGCGGUCGCCUCCUAAAAAGUAACGGAGGCUUGCAAAGGUUGGCUCAUUGCGGUUGGAAAUCGCAAGUAGAGUGUAAUGGCAUAAGCCAGCCUGACUGUAAGACAAACAAGUCGAGCAGAGACGAAAGUCGGUCAUAGUGAUCCGGUGAUUCUGUGUGGAAGGGUCAUCGCUCAAAGGAUAAAAGGUACCCCGGGGAUAACAGGCUGAUCUCCCCCAAGAGCUCACAUCGACGGGGAGGUUUGGCACCUCGAUGUCGGCUCAUCGCAUCCUGGGGCUGGAGCAGGUCCCAAGGGUAUGGCUGUUCGCCAUUUAAAGCGGUACGCGAGCUGGGUUCAGAACGUCGUGAGACAGUUCGGUCCCUAUCUGCCGUGGGCGUAGGAAAGUUGAGGAGAGCUGUCCCUAGUACGAGAGGACCGGGAUGGACACGCCACUGGUGUAUCAGUUGUUCUGCCAAGAGCAUCGCUGAGUAGCUAAGCGUGGAUGUGAUAACCGCUGAAAGCAUCUAAGCGGGAAGCCAACUCCAAGAUGAACUUUCCCUGAAGGUCGCAGCAAGACUAGCUGCUUGAUAGGGUAGAUGUGUAAGCAUAGUAAUAUGUUUAGCUGACUACUACUAAUAGACCGUUUGGUUUUAAGGG